CAGAUAUUAGUUUAUUAAAAUAUUAAUUUUGGAGAUUAAAGAUAAAUUUUUUUUAUAUCUGA
Molecule: transfer RNA, 62 nt
Filed under: Leptomona erythrocephala
Lineage: Eukaryota; Metazoa; Arthropoda; Insecta; Coleoptera; Chrysomelidae
Description: tRNA-Pro
Source: RNAcentral